UUUGCUUAUCUGAAACCUAUGAUAUGGAACAUUUGCUUUCUACAUGUUUAGUUCCUGUCUGCACUCCUUCUGCAGUAAUUCAAAACUUCACUGGCUUAAGCCAGAGAAAUUUUG
Non-coding RNA from Notechis scutatus (mainland tiger snake), 114 nucleotides. The record is from RefSeq and is a predicted model, not a curated record. NCBI's taxonomy places the organism in Eukaryota, Metazoa, Chordata, Lepidosauria, Squamata, Elapidae.